RNAcentral lists this ribosomal RNA (253 nucleotides) under uncultured bacterium. RNAcentral describes it as "partial 16S ribosomal RNA". It matches the Rfam family "Bacterial small subunit ribosomal RNA", at positions 524 to 776 of the family's 1533-position model. The record is from RNAcentral.
UACGUAGGGUGCGAGCGUUAAUCGGAAUUACUGGGCGUAAAGCGUGCGCAGGCGGUUUUGUAAGCCAGAUGUGAAAUCCCCGGGCUUAACCUGGGAAUGGCAUUUGGGACUGCAAGGCUCGAGUGCGGCAGAGGAGGUUGGAAUUCCUGGUGUAGCGGUGGAAUGCGCAGAUAUCAGGAGGAACACCGAUGGCGAAGGCAGAUCUCUGGGCCGUUACUGACGCUGAGGAGCGAAAGCGUGGGGAGCGAACAGG